Molecule: non-coding RNA, 689 nt
Organism: Peromyscus maniculatus bairdii (prairie deer mouse)
Lineage: Eukaryota; Metazoa; Chordata; Mammalia; Rodentia; Cricetidae
Source: RefSeq, a predicted model, not a curated record
CUCCCCGCAACCCCCACCGUAGGCCCACUACGAACCGGAAGCCGCGGGGUUUCCGCCUGCAACACCUGAGGGCGGCCAUGUUGCGGUACGGAACCCAGCCCUCUCAGUAACCGGAAGUGUCGCGUGCCCCGCCCACCUAGGACGCCGUUCCCAGUGCUCGGACGCUCAAAGGGGAGGAGCUGAGGUGGGGGGAGCCUCCUGGCAGCUGGGGCGCGCCAUGUUGCCGUACGGCACCGGCCUGGCCUGCACUGCCCUCCUCGGGGAAGGCGUGGAGUUCCUUGCACCUGGUGUUUCCCCGAAGCCACUGGUCCAGUCAGACGCUUCCUGUCUCAGACCUCCCCAACGCCGUCCGGUCGAGGCUGGGAAGAUCCAGCCCCCCCCCCCCGCACCUAGAAGGGGAAGGAACCCCCACAUGGUACCUAAGAGCUGGGCUCUCUAGGGCUGUGCAGGGCUCCGGGGGACGAAAUAACAAGUCUUUUCCUGUCCUGGGUUGGUGUGGUGGACAUCUUGCCAAUUUGCAGGACCAAGAAGCCCAGUGGCUCUCAGAGGAACCGAACCUCAAACUCGCUUUAAAGAAACCCACCUCGUUUCCUGUCCGGUCCUCUACGUAGGGCAUUUAAAUUGGGGAACAGAAAAGUUCCUCAAUGGUUAACGAGACUCUAAAGAUAAUAAAGGAUUUAAUUUCCAUA